This 30-nucleotide non-coding RNA is filed under the name Rattus norvegicus (Norway rat). Lineage: Eukaryota; Metazoa; Chordata; Mammalia; Rodentia; Muridae. The record is from RNAcentral.
ACAAAGACUUUUGUAUGGAAUGUUCAAGGU